UUUUAGAAAUAAUUAUGAAACGUUAAAUGUGGGAGAAUAGUGCAAGUGGUUAAAUUAGUUAUAAAUUCAGUGAAAGUUUACAGAAUGGAUAACCAUAGUAAUCCUAGAAUUAAUGCAUGCAAUUGUGUCUCGCCAGAAGGGAGAUACAUUUAUUAGAUGAAACCAAUAAAUUUGUGAAUCAUAAUAGUUUUGCUGAUCGUACUGUCUUGUGCUGGUGAUAAUUCAUUGGAAUUUCUGCAAAACCAAUGAUGGAUGGCAGAAUAGAGGCCUACCAUAGUUAUUACGAGUAACGGGGGAUUAGGGUUCGAUUCUGGAGAAAGCCAUGAGAAAUGGUAACUACAUUCAAGGAAGGCAGCAGGCGCGCAAAUUACCCAAUCCUAACACAGGGAGGUAGUGACAAAAAAUAACAUCACAGGGUCACUGGUCUUGUAAUUAGAAUGAGUACAAUUUAAAUAUCUUAAUGAGGAGCAGUAUGAGGGCAAACCUGAUGCCAACAGCCGCUUUAACUCCAGCAUCGAUAGUGUAUAUUAAAGUUGUUGCAGUUAAAACGCUCAUAGUCGACCUUUAAAUCUACCUGGCCCAGGUAAUUAAUUUAAUUUGACUCGCUAAAGGCACAACGUUUAUUUUAAAAAAAUUAUAGUGUUCAAAGCAAGUUUUUAUGAAUACAUUAGCAUGGAAUAAUGGAAUAAGUCAGCAGCUUAUUCCGCUGGUUUAUAGUUGCAAACAUGAUGAAUAGGGAUGGUUGGAGUCAUUGGUAUUCAAUAGUCAGAGAUGAAACUUGAAUUAUGCGAAAGCAUUUGGAAAAUCCAUUCCCAUUGAUCAAGGAUGAAAGUUAGGGAAUCUAAAAUGAUUAGAUAUUGUCGUAGCCUCAACUAUAAACUAUGCCGACCAGGGAUUGGAUUAGAUCAUACUAAUUUAGUAUCUUGAAUGAAAACAGAGUCUUUAGGUUCUGCGGGAAUAUAUUCGAAAGUAUGAAACUUAAAGGAAUUGACAGAAGCGCACCCAGGAGUGAAGCCUGCAGCUUAAUUCGACGCAACAUGGAAAAACUCACCAGACCAGGCAUAAGAAGGAUUGACAGUUUAAUAGUGCUUCUUGGAUUUUAUGGUUAAUGAUGCAUGGCUGUGUUAGUUAGUAGAGCGAUUUAUCUGGUUAAUUCCAAUAACUAAUGAGGCCUUAACAUUCAAAAAUUGUACAUAUUAUCAUAAGAAUAACUUAAUAACCAUAUAAUUUAUUUUUGACCCACACCAAUUUGAAGUAAUAACAGGUCUUUGAUACCCUUGGAUGCACUAGACCAUAUACACACUAUAUUGAUGAAUGCAGCAAACUAAUUAAAUCUUUAGGUUCCUUGUUCCGGAAGUGAAUAAUCUUGUAAACAAAACAUACUUAGGAUUAUACUUAUAAAAUACAUUUAUUCAUAAUAAUUUAAU
Molecule: ribosomal RNA, 1427 nt
Filed under: Conidiobolus incongruus B7586
Lineage: Eukaryota; Fungi; Entomophthoromycota; Entomophthoromycetes; Entomophthorales; Conidiobolaceae
Description: SSU rRNA
Rfam family: Eukaryotic small subunit ribosomal RNA
Source: RNAcentral